RNAcentral lists this transfer RNA (85 nucleotides) under Felis catus (domestic cat). It matches the Rfam family "tRNA". Rfam says of the family: Transfer RNA (tRNA) molecules are approximately 80 nucleotides in length. Their secondary structure includes four short double-helical elements and three loops (D, anti-codon, and T loops). Further hydrogen bonds mediate the characteristic L-shaped molecular structure. tRNAs have two regions of fundamental functional importance: the anti-codon, which is responsible for specific mRNA codon recognition, and the 3' end, to which the tRNAs corresponding amino acid is attached (by aminoacyl-tRNA synthetases). tRNAs cope with the degeneracy of the genetic code in two manners: having more than one tRNA (with a specific anti-codon) for a particular amino acid; and 'wobble' base-pairing, i.e. permitting non-standard base-pairing at the 3rd anti-codon position. Lineage: Eukaryota; Metazoa; Chordata; Mammalia; Carnivora; Felidae. The record is from Rfam by way of RNAcentral.
GCCUGGGUGGCUCAGUCGGUUGAGCUUCCGACUUCGGCUCAGGUCAUGAUCUCACGGUCUGUGAGUUCGAGCCCCGCCUCGGGCU